AUGGGAGCUUGGGAACAUGCAUGCAAACUGCUCCCUCGGAUGUGUCUUUCCAGGACUCCAUAUUUCAACCAACAGGAGAAGUUCAUGGGCAUCCCAAUCUGUACUCAUAUCCAGCUGCAUCCACUAUUACUGAACAUCAAAGUAAUGCGCCAAGAUCUUCUACUCAUCAAUCAUUUCAUACUUAUCCUUCCUUUACACCAACUCACCAUAAUCAAGAUGACUAUAGAUCAUUUCUCCAUGCAUCCUCCACAUUUUCGAGUCUCAUUGUAUCUACACUGCUACAAAACCAGGCAGCCCAUGCUGCAGCAAGCUUUGCAGCUAC
This 322-nucleotide unclassified non-coding RNA is filed under the name Hevea brasiliensis (rubber tree). The record is from RNAcentral. Lineage: Eukaryota; Viridiplantae; Streptophyta; Magnoliopsida; Malpighiales; Euphorbiaceae.